This 440-nucleotide ribosomal RNA is filed under the name uncultured bacterium. RNAcentral describes it as "partial 16S ribosomal RNA". It matches the Rfam family "Bacterial small subunit ribosomal RNA", at positions 338 to 795 of the family's 1533-position model. The record is from RNAcentral.
CCUACGGGAGGCUGCAGUGGGGAAUAUUGCACAAUGGGGGAAACCCUGAUGCAGCGACGCCGCGUGAGUGAAGAAGUAAUUCGGUAUGUAAAGCUCUAUCAGCAGGGAAGAAAAUGACGGUACCUGAGUAAGAAGCCACGGGUAACUACGUGCCAGCAGCCGCGGUAAUACGUAGGGGGCAAGCGUUCUCCGGAUUUAAUGGGGGAAAAGGGAGCGUAAACGUCAGUGCAAGUCUGGCGUGAAAGGCGGGGGGUCAACCCCCGGACUGCUCUGGAAACUGUACGGCUGGAGUGCAGGAGAGGUAAGUGGAAUUCCUAGUGUAGCGGUGAAAUGCGUAGAUAUUAGGAGGAACACCAGUGGCGAAGGCGGCUUACUGGCACAUAACUGACGCUGAGGAGCGAAAGCGUGGGUAGCAAACAGGAUUAGAUACCCCAGUAGUC